AAUAGAGGCGGCGGGUGGCGAACAUGUAAGCUUUUAUCUGUUCAUUCAAAAAAGUUACAACACUCAGGGAAGAAAUUGGCUUGUUUUCUCAAUUUCAAGUCAUAAUUUACUACUUAUUUUCCUUAAUUUCUUCUAACGCUAAGAAGAACUUGAUUUGCUUGGCACGACACGGGAGAACGAUGACCAGCCCACCUCUGCUUUUUGCACUCGGGCCCUCUCUUUGUUCUCUUUGCAAUCUACUCUGCCUUUAGAGACGAAAACAAUUGGAUGUUUUCUUCGAUUUCAUUCGUGCCUUCCGUGUUCUUCCUUUAUAACCCGAUAAGUUGUCAUGGCCAAAUUAAGGAUAUCGUUCCAAGAGAAAACCAUCAUCACUGCUCUGCUAAAUGGUAUGUGAUGAAGGAAUUCAUUUUUCUUUCUAGGGUUUUGUUUGAUUUCAGUUUUGAUUUUGGGUUUUUUUAUGUUGCAUGUCUUCUUUCCUGUUGAGAUAAAAGUAAGUAAUACAAUCGGAGACGCGUGCAAGAAUUUCAGGACGGACCAGAAGUCUUAUGGUGAUUGAUUAAUAGCAGAAUCAGAGACGUGAGAAAGAAUUUCAGGACAAACCGAUCUUGAAGGCUCUGAUCUCCCUAUUUAUUUGACUAAGAUUCAGAAGAUAGGAUUGUAAUUCUGAAAGUAAGAGGCAAAAUAUACAAAACAGGAGGAGGAUUUCCGAACAGAAGGGACGAAAAAAAGAGAGAAAGGAAUGCACAAUCUUUAGACGUAAAAAAAAAACCGGCAGGCACGAUCUCCACAUAGACGAAUGAGUACAUCAACACCCAUUCAACACCCAUCACUCUCCAAAUUUAUAGUUCCUAAGAAAAUUGGUAUCGGCUGAGGAGGAGGAUUUCCGAACAGAAGGGACGAAAAAAAGAGAGAAAGGAAUGCACAAUCUUUAGACGUAAAAAAAAACCGGCAGGCACGAUCUCCACAUAGACGAAUGAGUACAUCAACACCCAUUCAACACCCAUCACUCUCCAAAUUUAUAGUUCCUAAGAAAAUUGGUAUCGGCUGAGAUGGACAGAUUCACGUACGUACGUAUAGCACCCAUACAUCUAUCUAUCAAGCUAGUACAAAACUAUGGACAUGCAUGCACUAAUUACAGUACUACUCUACCGGCAACGAACUAUAAACCUGAGUUUCAUUGUGUGUUUGGAACUUGUACAACAAAGAUUUUAAUAGGCUUUAUUGUGUGAAGAUGGACCUCGGCAUGAUGGUCGAAAGAGGCGCUCGGCAAUUGGCUCAUCAGACAGCUAACAUAGUUGUGUGAAAUAUAUCAUACAACUAAUGUAAACUUGAGCUCUAUUGUGUGUUUGUCAUUGUACGACAAAGAACUUAUUGAAAUUUGUUGUGAAAGAGUAGAUUGAGACAACAAACAUCUUGUGGAUCAUUGUUGUAUGGUUAGUUAUCAUGCAACAAAUGUGUUGAGUUGUUUUGUUGUGGAGGCUUCUCCCAAACAACAAAACUCAAUAUCCCUUUUGUUGUAUGUUUGCUUAUUUUGCCAUAGACAAUUGAUUGAAAUGUUUUGUGCUAUUUUAUCCCACAACAAAAUUUAGUAUCCCUUUUAAUGUAUGGUUGCUUAGUAUGCAACAAAUAAUUAAUUAAAAUGGGUUGU
Long non-coding RNA from Argentina anserina (silverweed cinquefoil), 1648 nucleotides. RefSeq lists it as uncharacterized. The transcript has 6 exons. NCBI's taxonomy places the organism in Eukaryota, Viridiplantae, Streptophyta, Magnoliopsida, Rosales, Rosaceae. The record is from RefSeq and is a predicted model, not a curated record.